Long non-coding RNA from Miniopterus natalensis, 1151 nucleotides. RefSeq lists it as uncharacterized. The record is from RefSeq and is a predicted model, not a curated record. Lineage: Eukaryota; Metazoa; Chordata; Mammalia; Chiroptera; Miniopteridae.
AAACUGGGACCAGAUGGGGAAGGCCUUGUAUAUUGCUGAGAAAGCAGUUGAUGAUUUGGCUCUCAAAUGAAUGAAUAAAUGAAUGAACAAGGUGUCACCAUAUAAAGAAUGUUGCUGAUUCCACAAGCCACACACAAAAAUCCAGUUCAUUUCUGUCUUUGUAUCUCAGCAUACAGGGGUGGAGUAGGACAGCAGUGUGACAGGCUCAGGCCAGCCAAAUCCAGUGUAAGGAACAAGAGCCAGGGUUUCUUGUCCUGCCUCUGUAAACAAUUUGCUAUGUGACUUUGGGCAACUUCUUUCCUCUUCCUGGACCUCAGCUUGACAAUUCUAAGGCUGAAGUAACAUCUUGGGGACAGCUCAAUGUAGCGGCUCAGAGACCGGGAAAAGGCGAGAGGACUAUAGUUUUAAUUGGUUUGACCAGGUGGAUGGGAUGUCGUUAAACAGAGAACAUGGAGAUUGAGUAUGAGGUACCUUCAUGGCUUCCAAGUGAAAAUGUUACAAGGACCAGAAACACCGUUUUGAUCUGAGCAGAGAGAUCAGAACCAGAGAAAUUACUGUGUGAGCUGGUACUUCUGUCAGAAUAUCUAAUACGCUUCACUAUCAUAGUCUGUAUUAAACUGGCUCUACUGCUAGUCAGUAUGCUUCCUGUGGCAGGAACCAUGUGGCUCUUGCUCGCUUUUGUUUUUCUGGCAUCUAGCACAGUGCACAGCAUAUAGUAAGAUCCCAAUGCAUGUUUUUUAAAAAGUUACUGCUUUAUCAUAUGCCGUGCAAAAAUAAUGGAAGUUUUAAAUCACUAAGGGAGUUCUCAAGAGAGCAUAUUACUGUGAAAGGAGGUUGGGCAUCAGAAAAUGUUGGGAAGCCCUGGCCUGAGUAACCUCUAAGACCUCGGUAGGCUCUGUGACUCUAAAUCAAGAACUUGCUCUGUAGGACCAGCAGUGGCUGUCUGUGGAGCUCAUAUCAUUCUAGAACAAACAAUGGAAUCCACCCUGGUGGUGGUUUAAAAAUACGUGUACAAGCUCUUUGAUACUUCUGCCUCCAACAAGUAGUGUCUCCUUCCCCUCUUUGAACAUAGGCGGGCCUUAGUGACUCAUUUCUAAAGGCUAGAAUGUGGCGAAGGUGAUACUGAGUGGCUUCUUAGGCUUGUCAUAAAA